UGCCAGCCGCCGCGGUAAUACCGGUGGCUCGAGUGGUGGCCGCUAUUAUUGGGUCUAAAGGGUCCGUAGCCGGCCUGAUAAGUUACCUGGGAAAUCCGGUGGCCUAACCAUCGGGCGGCCAGGUAAUACUAUCAGGCUCGGGACUAGGAGAGACCAGAGGUACUCAUGAGGUAGGAGUGAAAUCCUGUAAUCUUAUGAGGACCACCAGUGGUGAAGACGUCUGGUUAGAAUAGGUCCGACGGUGAGGGACGAAGGCUGGGGGCGCAAACCGGAUUAGAUACCCGGGUAGUCCCAGCAGUAAACGAUGCCAGCUAUGUGUUGCUGGAACCAUGGGUUCCAGCAGUGCCGAAGGGAAGCCGUGAAGCUGGCCACCUGGGAAGUACGGUCGCAAGGCUGAAACUUAAAGGAAUUGGCGGGGGAGUACCACAACCGGUGGAGCCUGCGGUUUAAUUGGAUACAACGCCGGGAAUCUUACCGGAGGGGACAGCAGUAUGAAGGCCAGGCUAAAGACCUUGCCAGAUCAGCUGAGAGGAGGUGCAUGGCCGUCGCCAGUUCGUACCGUGAGGCAUCCUGUUUAGUCAGGCAACGAUCGAGACCCGCAGGU
This 604-nucleotide ribosomal RNA is filed under the name uncultured bacterium. RNAcentral describes it as "bacterial SSU rRNA". It matches the Rfam family "Archaeal small subunit ribosomal RNA", at positions 456 to 1059 of the family's 1478-position model. The record is from RNAcentral.